Molecule: regulatory RNA element, 98 nt
Organism: Firmicutes bacterium CAG:102
Lineage: Bacteria; Bacillati; Bacillota
Rfam family: pemK RNA
Source: Rfam
UGAAAGAAACUUCUGUUCAGCCACAGUCCGAGCGUGAUAACAACCGUCGCAGGCAAUGGGAGCAGGUCGCCAAGAGGGGACAGGUGGGAUUCCUAUGG